Molecule: ribosomal RNA, 242 nt
Filed under: uncultured bacterium
Lineage: Bacteria
Description: partial 16S ribosomal RNA
Rfam family: Bacterial small subunit ribosomal RNA
Source: RNAcentral
UACGGGGGGGCAAGCGUUGUUCGGAAUUACUGGGCGUAAAGGGCUCGUAGGUGGCCAACUAAGUCAGACGUGAAAUCCCUCGGCUUAACCGGGGAACUGCGUCUGAUACUGGAUGGCUUGAGUUUGGGAGAGGGACGCGGAAUUCCAGGUGUAGCGGUGAAAUGCGUAGAUAUCUGGAGGAACACCGGUGGCGAAGGCGGCUCACUGGACCGGUACUGACGCCUGAUGCGCGAAAGCGUGGG